UACGUAGGGUGCGAGCGUUAAUCGGAAUUACUGGGCGUAAAGUGUGCGCAGGCGGCCGCGCAAGUCGAGUGUGAAAGCCCCGGGCUUAACCUGGGAACUGCAUUUGUGACUGCAUAGCUGGAGUACGGUAGAGGGGGAUGGAAUUCCGCGUGUAGCAGUGAAAUGCGUAGAUAUGCGGAGGAACACCGAUGGCGAAGGCAGUCCCCUGGACCUGUACUGA
Molecule: ribosomal RNA, 220 nt
Filed under: uncultured bacterium
Lineage: Bacteria
Description: partial 16S ribosomal RNA
Rfam family: Bacterial small subunit ribosomal RNA
Source: RNAcentral